AUUGAACGCUGGCGGCAGGCCUAACACAUGCAAGUCGAACGGUAACAGGAAGCAGCUUGCUGCUUUGCUGACGAGUGGCGGACGGGUGAGUAAUGUCUGGGAAACUGCCCGAUGGAGGGGGAUAACUACUGGAAACGGUAGCUAAUACCGCAUAACGUCGCAAGACCAAAGAGGGGGACCUUAGGGCCUCUUGCCAUCGGAUGUGCCCAGAUGGGAUUAGCUAGUAGGUGGGGUAACGGCUCACCUAGGCGACGAUCCCUAGCUGGUCUGAGAGGAUGACCACCCACACUGGAAGUGAGACACGGCCAGACUCCAACGGGAGGCAGCAGUGGGGAAUAUUGCACAAUGGGCGCAAGCCUGAUGCAGCCAUGCCGCGUGUAUGAAGAAGGCCUUCGGGUUGUAAAGUACUUUCAGCGGGGAGGAAGGGAGUAAAGUUAAUACCUUUGCUCAUUGACGUUACCCGCAGAAGAAGCACCGGCUAACUCCGUG
This 489-nucleotide ribosomal RNA is filed under the name uncultured bacterium. RNAcentral describes it as "partial 16S ribosomal RNA". It matches the Rfam family "Bacterial small subunit ribosomal RNA", at positions 30 to 507 of the family's 1533-position model. The record is from RNAcentral.